UAGGGAAUCUUCGGCAAUGGGGGCAACCCUGACCGAGCAACGCCGCGUGAGUGAAGAAGGUUUUCGGAUCGUAAAGCUCUGUUGUAAGAGAAGAACGUGUGUGAGAGUGGAAAGUUCACACAGUGACGGUAACUUACCAGAAAGGGACGGCUAACUACGUGCCAGCAGCCGCGGUAAUACGUAGGUCCCGAGCGUUGUCCGGAUUUAUUGGGCGUAAAGCGAGCGCAGGCGGUUUAAUAAGUCUGAAGUUAAAGGCAGUGGCUUAACCAUUGUUCGCUUUGGAAACUGUUAGACUUGAGUGCAGAAGGGGAGAGUGGAAUUCCAUGUGUAGCGGUGAAAUGCGUAGAUAUAUGGAGGAACACCGGUGGCGAAAGCGGCUCUCUGGUCUGUAACUGACGCUGAGGCUCGAAAGCGUGGGGAGCAAACA
RNAcentral lists this ribosomal RNA (427 nucleotides) under uncultured bacterium. Its description in RNAcentral is "partial 16S ribosomal RNA". It matches the Rfam family "Bacterial small subunit ribosomal RNA", at positions 355 to 774 of the family's 1533-position model. RNAcentral also lists the same sequence under 1 other name. The record is from RNAcentral.